Molecule: ribosomal RNA, 406 nt
Filed under: uncultured bacterium
Lineage: Bacteria
Description: bacterial SSU rRNA
Rfam family: Bacterial small subunit ribosomal RNA
Source: RNAcentral
GACGAACGCUGGCGGCGUGCCUAACACAUGCAAGUCGAGCGGAGCCAACCGAACAAUCCCUUCGGGGAGCGUUUGGGGAAGCUUAGCGGCGGACGGGUGAGUAACGCGUGAGUAACCUGCCCAUUAGUGGGGAAUAACACAGAGAAAUUUGUGCUAAUACCGCAUACGGAAUAACCAAGGCAUCUUGGAAGUUUAAAAGAUUUAUCGCUAAUGGAUGGACUCGCGUCUGAUUAGAUAGUUGGUAGGGUAACGGCCUACCAAGUCAACGAUCAGUAGCCGAACUGAGAGGUUGAUCGGCCACAUUGGGACUGAGACACGGCCCAGACUCCUACGGGAGGCAGCAGUGGGGGAUAUUGCGCAAUGGGGGAAACCCUGACGCAGCAACGCCGCGUGCAGGAUGACGGCC